This is a long non-coding RNA of Lampris incognitus (smalleye Pacific opah), 594 nucleotides long. RefSeq lists it as uncharacterized. NCBI's taxonomy places the organism in Eukaryota, Metazoa, Chordata, Actinopteri, Lampriformes, Lampridae. The record is from RefSeq and is a predicted model, not a curated record. The transcript is spliced from 3 exons.
GCAGACUGGACUGAACCGGGGGUACACGUGACAGCCUGCUGUCGUCUGAGAAAGCAGGCGUCUCUUGACAAGCAUGGGUUUUAUCCUGGAUCUGUGACUCACCAGUUGGACAGCAGGCGCCGGCACCACUCGUUUUCUUCGUGCCACGGUGCUGGCGGACAUCGGCAGGUUUUCCCGGCUGGAGCAGUCUUCUUGGUUGCGGUUUAGUUUAAGCUCCUCCCCGGCAUCUGCUGCUGCAGGAAGCGCCGUGUUUAAGUCCUGAUGUGCUGAUCUGGAACCAGCGUUAGCCUCCAUACAGACGCUCCAAACUUUCGUAGUCUCUUUUACAGCCUGUGGGAGGCGCUCUAGACCUCGACACGAAGACGUGGCCAGAGGCUACUAUUAUUGGGAGAGUCAAGGAGGCGCCCCCUGGUGGUGGAGAUCCUCCGUCAGCGCCAUAUCGCCACAGUUUGAUAAAGAAAAAAGAAAAAGUACCUCAGGCCGCAUUACAAUAUUAAGACAGCGAUGCCUCUUCGUAGGAUGUCAACCACCAAUGAUGCACAUACAACAGCGUCUCUCCACGUCUUUUUAAUGGGGGACGAUACUAAACUAAAG